This 23-nucleotide microRNA is filed under the name Gallus gallus (chicken). RNAcentral's name for it is "gga-miR-1388b-5p". The record is from miRBase by way of RNAcentral. Lineage: Eukaryota; Metazoa; Chordata; Aves; Galliformes; Phasianidae.
CAUGGGCUGACGAACCUGAGAUU